AGCAGUCGCCGCGGUAAUACGUAUGUCACAAGCGUUAUCCGGAUUUAUUGGGCGUAAAGCGCGUCUAGGUGGUUAUGUAAGUCUGAUGUGAAAAUGCAGGGCUCAACUCUGUAUUGCGUUGGAAACUGUGUAACUAGAGUACUGGAGAGGUAAGCGGAACUACAAGUGUAGAGGUGAAAUUCGUAGAUAUUUGUAGGAAUGCCGAUGGGGAAGCCAGCUUACUGGACAGAUACUGACGCUAAAGCGCGAAAGCGUGGGUAGCAAACAGGAUUAGAUACCCCAGUAGUCCCUGUCUCUUAUACA
This 303-nucleotide ribosomal RNA is filed under the name uncultured bacterium. RNAcentral's name for it is "partial 16S ribosomal RNA". It matches the Rfam family "Bacterial small subunit ribosomal RNA", at positions 507 to 808 of the family's 1533-position model. The record is from RNAcentral.